This 680-nucleotide ribosomal RNA is filed under the name Gelastocoris oculatus. RNAcentral's name for it is "bacterial SSU rRNA". It matches the Rfam family "Eukaryotic small subunit ribosomal RNA", at positions 395 to 1343 of the family's 1831-position model. The record is from RNAcentral. Lineage: Eukaryota; Metazoa; Arthropoda; Insecta; Hemiptera; Gelastocoridae.
CCUGAGAAACGGCUACCACAUCCAAGGAAGGCAGCAGGCACGCAAAUUACCCACUCCCGGCACGGGGAGGUAGUGACAAAAAAUAACGAUACGGGACUCAUCCGAGGCCCCGUAAUCGGAAUGAGUACACUUUAAAUCCUUUAACAAGGAUCCAUUGGAGGGCAAGUCUGGUGCCAGCAGCCGCGGUAAUUCCAGCUCCAAUAGCGUAUAUUAAAGUUGUUGCAGUUACUUGGCAAAUGCUUUCGCGGUGAAAUUCUUGGACCGUCGCAAGACGGACUAGAGCGAAAGCAUUUGCCAAGUAUGUCUUAGUUGAUCAAGAACGAAAGUUAGAGGUUCGAAGGCGAUCAGAUACCGCCCUAGUUCUAACCAUAAACGAUGCCAGCCAGCGAUCCGCCGGUGUUCCUAGAAUGACUCGGCGGGCAGCUUAGGGGAAACCAAAGCUUUUGGGUUCCGGGGGAAGUAUGGUUGCAAAGCUGAAACUUAAAGGAAUUGACGGAAGGGCACCACCAGGAGUGGAGCCUGCGGCUUAAUUUGACUCAACACGGGAAACCUCACCAGGCCCGGACAUUGGAAGGAUUGACAGAUUGAUAGCUCUUUCUUGAUUCAGUGGGUAGUGGUGCAUGGCCGUUCUUAGUUGGUGGAACGAUUUGUCUGGUUAAUUCCGAUAACGAACGAGACUC